CCCGUUAAACCUCACCCUCCCUUGUUAUUCCCGCCUAUAUACCGCCGUCGUCAGCCCACCCUGUGAAGGUCUAGAAGUGAGCAAAAUUGGUAAAACCUAAAACGUCAGGUCGAGGUGUAGUAUAUGAGAGGGGAAGAAAUGGGCUACAUUUCCUAAUCUAGGAAAUCGAACAAUGUACUGAGACAAACAUUAGACGGUGGAUUUAGCAGUAAGCAAGAAAUCAGAGAGUUCUGCUGAAGAUCUACGGCACUAAAGCACGCACAUAUCGCCCGUCACUCUCCCCGAAAUACCUAAAAAGUCGUAUCCAUAAAGGGGAGGCAAGUCGUAACAUGGUAAGCGUACCGGAAGGUGCGCUUGGAUUAAACAGAGUGCAACUUA
This 378-nucleotide ribosomal RNA is filed under the name Neopomacentrus azysron (yellow-tail demoiselle). RNAcentral describes it as "partial 12S ribosomal RNA". It matches the Rfam family "Bacterial small subunit ribosomal RNA", at positions 960 to 1533 of the family's 1533-position model. The record is from RNAcentral. Lineage: Eukaryota; Metazoa; Chordata; Actinopteri; Pomacentridae.